RNAcentral lists this ribosomal RNA (794 nucleotides) under uncultured Actinomycetes bacterium. Its description in RNAcentral is "bacterial SSU rRNA". It matches the Rfam family "Bacterial small subunit ribosomal RNA", at positions 578 to 1373 of the family's 1533-position model. Lineage: Bacteria; Bacillati; Actinomycetota; Actinomycetes. The record is from RNAcentral.
GUUCGACAAGUCGGGUGUUAAACCCCCAGGCUCAACCUGGGGCCGCCACCCGAAACUGUCGUGACUAGAGUUUGGUAGGGGAUCACGGAAUUCCUGGUGUAGCGGUGGAAUGCGCAGAUAUCAGGAGGAACACCAGUAGCGAAGGCGGUGAUCUGGGCCAAUACUGACGCUGAGGAGCGAAAGCGUGAGGAGCGAACAGGAUUAGAUACCCUGGUAGUCCACGCCGUAAACGGUGGGCACUAGGUGUGGGGACUUUUCAACGGUUUCCGCGCCGCAGCUAACGCAUUAAGUGCCCCGCCUGGGGAGUACGGUCGCAAGACUAAAACUCAAAGAAAUUGACGGGGGCCCGCACAAGCAGCGGAGCAUGUGGCUUAAUUCGAUGCAACGCGAAAAACCUUACCUAGAUUUGACAUGCUGGGAAAAGCCACAGAGAUGUGGUGUCCUUCGGGGCCCAGCACAGGUGGUGCAUGGCUGUCGUCAGCUCGUGUCGUGAGAUGUUGGGUUAAGUCCCGCAACGAGCGCAACCCUUGUUCUAUGUUGCCAGCACGUAAUGGUGGGGACUCGUAGAAGACUGCCGGGGUCAACUCGGAGGAAGGUGGGGACGACGUCAAGUCAUCAUGCCCCUUACGUCUAGGGCUGCACACAUGCUACAAUGGGCGGUACAGAGGGCUGCUAAGCCGCGAGGUGGAGCCAAUCCCUAAAACCGCUCUCAGUUCAGAUUGCAGGCUGCAACUCGCCUGCAUGAAGUUGGAGUUGCUAGUAAUCCCGGAUCAGCACUGCCGGGUGAUACGUUC